RNAcentral lists this ribosomal RNA (468 nucleotides) under uncultured bacterium. RNAcentral's name for it is "partial 16S ribosomal RNA". It matches the Rfam family "Bacterial small subunit ribosomal RNA", at positions 28 to 507 of the family's 1533-position model. The record is from RNAcentral.
GAUGAACGCUGGCGGCGUGCUUAACACAUGCAAGUCGAACGGAAAGGCCCAAGCUUGCUUGGGUACUCGAGUGGCGAACGGGUGAGUAACACGUGGGUGAUCUGCCCUGCACUUCGGGAUAAGCCUGGGAAACUGGGUCUAAUACCGGAUAGGACGAUGGUUUGGAUGCCAUUGUGGAAAGUUUUUUCGGUGUGGGAUGAGCUCGCGGCCUAUCAGCUUGUUGGUGGGGUAAUGGCCUACCAAGGCGUCGACGGGUAGCCGGCCUGAGAGGGUGUACGGCCACAUUGGGACAGAGAUACGGCCCAGACUCCUACGGGAGGCAGCAGUGGGGAAUAUUGCACAAUAGGCGCAAGCCUGAUGCAGCGACGCCGCGUGGGGGAUGACGGCCUUCGGGUUGUAAACUCCUUUCGCUAGGGACGAAGCGUUUUUGUGACGGUACCUGGAGAAGAAGCACCGGCUAACUACGUG